AUUGAACGCUGGCGGCAGGCCUAACACAUGCAAGUCGAACGGUAACAGGAAGAAGCUUGCUUCUUUGCUGACGAGUGGCGGACGGGUAAGUAAUGUCUGGGAAACUGCCUGAUGGGGGGGGAUAACUACUGGAAACGGUAGCUACUACCGCAUAGUUUCGCAAGACCAAAGGGGGGGGCCUUCGGGCCUCUGUCCAUCGGAUGUGCCCAGAUGGGAUUAGCUAGUAGGGGGGGUAACGGCUCACCUAGGCGACGAUCCCUAGCUGGUCUGAGAGGAUGACCAGCCACACGGGGACUGAGACACGGUCCAGACGCCUACGGGAGGCAGCAGUGGGGAAUAUUGCACAAUGGGCGCAAGCCUGAUGCAGCUAUGCCGCGUGUAUGAAGAAGGCCUUCGGGUUGUAAAGUACUUUCAGCGGGGAGGAAGGGAGUAAAGUUAAUACCUUUGCUCAUUGACGUUACCCGCAGAAGAAGCACCGGCUAACUCCGUG
Molecule: ribosomal RNA, 490 nt
Filed under: uncultured bacterium
Lineage: Bacteria
Description: partial 16S ribosomal RNA
Rfam family: Bacterial small subunit ribosomal RNA
Source: RNAcentral